UUUUAUGUUGCAAUUAACAUAAUUCUUAACCUAAUUAUUUAAAAUAAUGUUGUCUGUGCCCUACAAAUUGUACUAGGUUUUUUUUUUUUUUUUUGGCCCCAAAACUGAGAGAAAAGGAUAAGGCCUAAGAGAUUUCUUAAGCUGUAAUGAUGAAAAAAUAAAAAACGACAACACACAAUUACUGAUUUUUUUUUUCUUUUUUUUUUCUUCUGGUGAUUAAAGAGAUGUUAACUCUCUCUCUCUCUCUCUCUCUCUCUCUCUGUCAGGCAGGCAGGCCCUCAAGCACCCCCACCCCCCUCCCUUCACACACUCAGUCACCAACAACAAAUCAGUCACUUAGUCAGUCACCAACAGCACACACACUCAGUCACCAAACC
Long non-coding RNA from Cyprinus carpio carpio, 377 nucleotides. Lineage: Eukaryota; Metazoa; Chordata; Actinopteri; Cypriniformes; Cyprinidae. The record is from Ensembl.